This is a non-coding RNA of Kickxella alabastrina, 83 nucleotides long. Lineage: Eukaryota; Fungi; Kickxellomycota; Kickxellomycetes; Kickxellales; Kickxellaceae. The record is from the annotation of a RefSeq genome assembly.
GGGAAGAUGGCCGAGUUGGUCUAAGGCGCCACGUUCAGGUCGUGGUCUACUCGUAGGCGUGGGUUCGAAUCCCACUCUUCUCA